Molecule: ribosomal RNA, 2869 nt
Filed under: Klebsiella pneumoniae
Lineage: Bacteria; Pseudomonadati; Pseudomonadota; Gammaproteobacteria; Enterobacterales; Enterobacteriaceae
Description: partial 23S ribosomal RNA
Rfam family: Bacterial large subunit ribosomal RNA
Source: RNAcentral
CACUAUCGUUAACUGAAUACAUAGGUUAACGAGGCGAACCGGGGGAACUGAAACAUCUAAGUACCCCGAGGAAAAGAAAUCAACCGAGAUUCCCCCAGUAGCGGCGAGCGAACGGGGAGCAGCCCAGAGUCUGAAUCAGCUUGUGUGUUAGUGGAACGGUCUGGAAAGUCCGACGGUACAGGGUGAUAGUCCCGUACACCAAAAUGCACAGGCUGUGAACUCGAAGAGUAGGGCGGGACACGUGGUAUCCUGUCUGAAUAUGGGGGGACCAUCCUCCAAGGCUAAAUACUCCUGACUGACCGAUAGUGAACCAGUACCGUGAGGGAAAGGCGAAAAGAACCCCGGCGAGGGGAGUGAAAAAGAACCUGAAACCGUGUACGUACAAGCAGUGGGAGCACCUUCGGGUGUGACUGCGUACCUUUUGUAUAAUGGGUCAGCGACUUAUAUUCUGUAGCAAGGUUAACCGUAUAGGGGAGCCGCAGGGAAACCGAGUCUUAACUGGGCGUUAAGUUGCAGGGUAUAGACCCGAAACCCGGUGAUCUAGCCAUGGGCAGGUUGAAGGUUGGGUAACACUAACUGGAGGACCGAACCGACUAAUGUUGAAAAAUUAGCGGAUGACUUGUGGCUGGGGGUGAAAGGCCAAUCAAACCGGGAGAUAGCUGGUUCUCCCCGAAAGCUAUUUAGGUAGCGCCUCGUGAAUUCAUCUUCGGGGGUAGAGCACUGUUUCGGCUAGGGGGUCAUCCCGACUUACCAACCCGAUGCAAACUACGAAUACCGAAGAAUGUUAUCACGGGAGACACACGGCGGGUGCUAACGUCCGUCGUGAAGAGGGAAACAACCCAGACCGCCAGCUAAGGUCCCAAAGUCAUGGUUAAGUGGGAAACGAUGUGGGAAGGCACAGACAGCCAGGAUGUUGGCUUAGAAGCAGCCAUCAUUUAAAGAAAGCGUAAUAGCUCACUGGUCGAGUCGGCCUGCGCGGAAGAUGUAACGGGGCUAAACCAUGCACCGAAGCUGCGGCAGCGACACUAUGUGUUGUUGGGUAGGGGAGCGUUCUGUAAGCCUGCGAAGGUGACCUGUGAGGGUUGCUGGAGGUAUCAGAAGUGCGAAUGCUGACAUAAGUAACGAUAAAGCGGGUGAAAAGCCCGCUCGCCGGAAGACCAAGGGUUCCUGUCCAACGUUAAUCGGGGCAGGGUGAGUCGACCCCUAAGGCGAGGCCGAAAGGCGUAGUCGAUGGGAAACAGGUUAAUAUUCCUGUACUUGGUGUUACUGCGAAGGGGGGACGGAGAAGGCUAUGUUAGCCGGGCGACGGUUGUCCCGGUUUAAGCAUGUAGGCUGGUUANNNNNNNNNNNNNNNNNNNNNNNNNNNNNNNNNNNNNNNNNNNNNNNNNNNNNNNNNNNNNNNNNNNNNNNNNNNNNNNNNNNNNNNNNNNNNNNNNUGUCCAGGCAAAUCCGGAUAAUCAAGGCUGAGGUGUGAUGACGAGGCACUACGGUGCUGAAGUAACAAAUGCCCUGCUUCCAGGAAAAGCCUCUAAGCAUCAGGUAACAUCAAAUCGUACCCCAAACCGACACAGGUGGUCAGGUAGAGAAUACCAAGGCGCUUGAGAGAACUCGGGUGAAGGAACUAGGCAAAAUGGUGCCGUAACUUCGGGAGAAGGCACGCUGGUGUGUAGGUGAAGUCCCUGCGGAUGGAGCUGAGACCAGUCGAAGAUACCAGCUGGCUGCAACUGUUUAUUAAAAACACAGCACUGUGCAAACACGAAAGUGGACGUAUACGGUGUGACGCCUGCCCGGUGCCGGAAGGUUAAUUGAUGGGGUUAUCCGUAAGGAGAAGCUCUUGAUCGAAGCCCCGGUAAACGGCGGCCGUAACUAUAACGGUCCUAAGGUAGCGAAAUUCCUUGUCGGGUAAGUUCCGACCUGCACGAAUGGCGUAAUGAUGGCCAGGCUGUCUCCACCCGAGACUCAGUGAAAUUGAACUCGCUGUGAAGAUGCAGUGUACCCGCGGCAAGACGGAAAGACCCCGUGAACCUUUACUAUAGCUUGACACUGAACAUUGAGCCUUGAUGUGUAGGAUAGGUGGGAGGCUUUGAAGCGUGGACGCCAGUCUGCGUGGAGCCAACCUUGAAAUACCACCCUUUAAUGUUUGAUGUUCUAACGUUGGCCCCUUACCGGGGUUGCGGACAGUGUCUGGUGGGUAGUUUGACUGGGGCGGUCUCCUCCCAAAGCGUAACGGAGGAGCACGAAGGUUAGCUAAUCCUGGUCGGACAUCAGGAGGUUAGUGCAAUGGCAUAAGCUAGCUUGACUGCGAGCGUGACGGCGCGAGCAGGUGCGAAAGCAGGUCAUAGUGAUCCGGUGGUUCUGAAUGGAAGGGCCAUCGCUCAACGGAUAAAAGGUACUCCGGGGAUAACAGGCUGAUACCGCCCAAGAGUUCAUAUCGACGGCGGUGUUUGGCACCUCGAUGUCGGCUCAUCACAUCCUGGGGCUGAAGUAGGUCCCAAGGGUAUGGCUGUUCGCCAUUUAAAGUGGUACGCGAGCUGGGUUUAGAACGUCGUGAGACAGUUCGGUCCCUAUCUGCCGUGGGCGCUGGAGAAUUGAGGGGGGCUGCUCCUAGUACGAGAGGACCGGAGUGGACGCAUCACUGGUGUUCGGGUUGUCAUGCCAAUGGCACUGCCCGGUAGCUAAAUGCGGAAGAGAUAAGUGCUGAAAGCAUCUAAGCACGAAACUUGCCCCGAGAUGAGUUCUCCCUGAGACUUUAAGUCUCCUGAAGGAACGUUAAAGACGAUGACGUUGAUAGGCCGGGUGUGUAAGCGCAGCGAUGCGUUGAGCUAACCGGUACUAAUGAACCGUGAGGCUUAACCUUACAACGCCGAAG